This is a long non-coding RNA of Dama dama (fallow deer), 1921 nucleotides long. RefSeq lists it as uncharacterized. Lineage: Eukaryota; Metazoa; Chordata; Mammalia; Artiodactyla; Cervidae. The record is from RefSeq and is a predicted model, not a curated record. The transcript has 4 exons.
GAUUGAGCGAGGAAAGCAGCCUCGGCAGCGCCAGCUAAGCAACCGGCUCCAGGGCAGCGCGUUUUGGAGGCUGAAGCUGGGAAUGGAUCCAGUCACAUGAAAGUGGGGAAAGAACUGCCAGAGAAAGGAAGGCUCAGCCCAGGCACUGGGGAGCCUCUGAAAAGUUCUGAGCAGAGAAGAGACUGUAUGAAACUACGUUGGUGACUGUGUGCUGGAUGGAUCAGAAGGGAACAAAGUCGUCAGGGAUGAACAAAGAAUAACACAUGUGAGACUAAAAAUUUGGGGGACCCUCAGGAUUCUUGAUGGAGAAGGAAAUGGCGACCCACACCAGUGUUCUUGCCUAGAGAAUCCCAGGGAUGGGGGAGCCUGGUGGGCUGCCGUCUGUGGGGUCACACAGAGUCGGACACGACUGAAGCGACUUAGCAGCAGCAGCAGCAGGAUUCUUGAUCCAGGAGGCGGGGGUUCAGUCGCUGAUCCGGGACGAUCCCACGUGCUGCGGAGGACUGCUGAGCCUGUGCUCUAGAGCCCGGUAGCCACAACUGCUGAGCCCACGUGUCCCAGCUGCUCAAGUCCGAACGCCCUAAAGCCCACGCUCCCCAGCAGAGAAGCCAGCACAGUGAGAAGCCUGUGCGUCAAGCUGGAGAGAGGCCCCCGCCCGCUGCAGCUCGAGAGAAGCCGGAGCAGCAGCAAAGACCCAGCACCGCCAUAAAUAAUAAAUAAAAACAUUCACAAAAAUAAAAUACCAACUCCGAGAGAUGCAUCAUGGAAUAGAACUGGGAUGAGAGAGUUCUCGGUUAUCUCUUUCAAUGAAAGCGUAGAGUCGCCAACUACAUGUUUGAUGGUGAGCAAAUCUCCUCACCUGUUAGAUCUCAUUUGCAAAAUCAAAAAUGUCCUCUGGCCAGGAAGCAUCAUAAAGUGAAUGUUUUGCUUUUUCUUAUACACUCUGCUCCUGGUGUGGUAGGUACAGCUAUUACUACAUUCCUAUGAUCUUAUUUUAAUUUUAAAUCCUUGGGUAAGAAGUAUUUCUUAAAAAAUCAAAUUUUAAUCUUAUUUUCUUCCAAAAAAAUUAAAAAUUAAUUCUAUUAAAUUACAAGAGAUAUAGUGUAGUGCUUACAUGCUUGGUCCUCUGAAAUAGAUUUUUUUCGUUUCAACACUUAAAUUAGGCAAAUCGCUGAGUCUCUCAGUGCCUCGGUUUCUACAUAAGGAUAAUGACGCUGGCCUCACAGCAUGGGCAGGAGGAUGGAAUGAUACAGUUAGCACAGGGCCUGGCCAUAGCCAAUGGUCAGUUCAGUUCAGUUGCUUAGCUCUUUGCAACCCCAUGGACUGCAGCAUGCCAGGCCUCCCUGUCCAUCACCAACUCCCGGACCUUACUCAAACUCAUGUCCAUUGAGUCAGUGAUGUCAUCCUACCAUCUCAUCCUCUGUUGUCCCCUUCUCCUCCUGCCUUCAAUCUUUCCCAGCAUCAGGGUCUUUUCUAAUGAGUCAGUUCCUUGCAUCAGGUAGCCAAAUGCUCAGCAAAUGUUUUUUUUUUGUUUGUUUUUGUUUUAAUAUUUGGCUAUGCCACAGGGCAUAUGAGAUCUUAGUUCCCCAACCAGGGAUCAAACCUGUGCCCCCUGCAUUAAAAGCCUGGAGUCUCAACUGCUGGACUGCCAGGGAAGUCCCAUCAAAUGUUAAUCUUUAAGCUAUUUCCAUUUCUCCAUUUGCCCUCUUCACCUUCAGUAUGUUUGUGUGUACACAUACAUAUGACAUAUACGAUAACACAUAUUAUACAUGUAUAUUACAAUCAUAUAUAUUAUAAUCUCAGGGACAGGGUUUACAGUUGGAAGGAAUUUCUAGAUUAAAUCCAAACCUGUCUUACCCCUGAAUAUGUACAUUGAUUACAUUUGUAUUUUUUCUGUUGGACUCAAAUGGGUGAUCAGGUU